GGGGCAUUAGCGCAGCGGGAGCGCACCACACUGGCAGUGUGGGGGUCAGGGGUUCAAAUCCCCUAUGCUCCA
Molecule: transfer RNA, 72 nt
Filed under: Herbinix hemicellulosilytica
Lineage: Bacteria; Bacillati; Bacillota; Clostridia; Lachnospirales; Lachnospiraceae
Rfam family: tRNA
About the family: Transfer RNA (tRNA) molecules are approximately 80 nucleotides in length. Their secondary structure includes four short double-helical elements and three loops (D, anti-codon, and T loops).
Source: Rfam by way of RNAcentral